RNAcentral lists this long non-coding RNA (774 nucleotides) under Helianthus annuus (common sunflower). Its description in RNAcentral is "sRNA HanXRQr2_Chr15g0696081". The record is from RNAcentral. Lineage: Eukaryota; Viridiplantae; Streptophyta; Magnoliopsida; Asterales; Asteraceae.
GCUCACCAUGGCGGCCACCAACCCCCUGAUUACUAUGCAAGAGGCACUCACAUACAGAUUUGAUUGAGGUGAAAUUUAUGCAGUUGGAAGAAUUAAUUGUUUUAGAGUUCAUUUUAUACGGAGAAAAGUAAGAAAAUUACUUCAAGUGAGCCAACAUGAAAUCUUGCAAGAAUCAACACGUGUGAUAGGGCAACAAAUGAAGAAGAGCUAUGGAGUGUUUGUGGAGAAUGUCUUUCUAGUGGAAGCGAGUGCGUCCCCUUAUUACAAUGAAAUCAAAUAGCUCUCAAAUAAAGUUCUUCUAUGGUGUGGUGUGCGGCGUUCGAAUCUUUUUAAGCCCUUGCACAAAGGAUUCUUGCCGGUUGUGUGCACACUCCAGCCAUGUGAAUAUAUUAAAACUGUUUUUGUGCCAAAAAAGGGUCAUAUUCAUGUAGUUAUUAAAUGGCCGGCUGCCCAAGGAAUAGUCCAUGUGCUCUUGGUUGUAAUGGCUGGUUUUUACAAAGGAUGGUCUCAACAGGAAGGGGUUAUGUCCUCCUGAAGGUGAAAAAGACUGGUGUACUACCAUAUUUGAGAAUCAGUGGACCCGGAUUUAGUUUGUAAUUGGCCUUUUAUCUUCUCUUCCACUGGGGUGGCAUAAUAGGCAGGCCGGGCAUGUCGGGUAACCGGUCAUAAUAGGUUUUUGAUCAAUAUGGGUCGACCGCCAAACGCUAUUGUUUCAUUUUGUGAAUCUUAUAAUUAUUGGUUGGGUAAAUAUAUGAUUACAAAGCCAUAUUAUUA